This 492-nucleotide ribosomal RNA is filed under the name uncultured bacterium. Its description in RNAcentral is "partial 16S ribosomal RNA". It matches the Rfam family "Bacterial small subunit ribosomal RNA", at positions 29 to 507 of the family's 1533-position model. The record is from RNAcentral.
AGUGAACGCUGGCGGUAGGCCUAACACAUGCAAGUCGAACGGCAGCACAGUAAGAGCUUGCUCUUACGGGUGGCGAGUGGCGGACGGGUGAGGAAUACAUCGGAAUCUACUUUUUCGUGGGGGAUAACGUAGGGAAACUUACGCUAAUACCGCAUACGACCUACGGGUGAAAGCAGGGGAUCUUCGGACCUUGCGCGAUUGAAUGAGCCGAUGUCGGAUUAGCUAGUUGGCGGGGUAAAGGCCCAACAAGGCGACGAUCCGUAGCUGGUCUGAGAGGAUGAUCAGCUACACUGGAACUGAGACACGGUCCAGACUCCUACGGGAGGCAGCAGUGGGGAAUAUUGGACAAUGGGCGCAAGCCUGAUCCAGCCAUACCGCGUGGGUGAAGAAGGACUUCGGGUUGUAAAGCCCUUUUGUUGGGAAAGAAAAGCAGCAGGUUAAUACCCCGCUGUUCUGACGGUACCCAAAGAAUAAGCACCGGCUAACUUCGUG